UUAAAUAUACAAGACCCAGACAAAUAUCUUCACUCUCAAUACAAGUCACGCACACACACACUUCUGAGAAUAAUCUCCACAAAUCAAACCUCACAACCCAGCCAAACAUCAUCUUCUCCAUCAUUUCUUUCCCUUCUUCUUUUUACAGAACCCUAAGGCACGCUUUCACCUAUAAACAAGCCCCUGUUACACUCUCGAUCCCUCUCUCUCUCUCUCUCUCUCUCUCUCUCUCUCUCUCUCUUUCUCUCGAUGAUUCUGACCGACGGCCGGGUUCACCGUCGGCACUCCGGCGAGCCUCCCGGUCGGGUGCUCUGACUCCCCCACACCCCUCCUGUUCCUCUUUUUCCAGUGAAACACCAUCUUUCAGCGACUCUCUCCCUCUCCACCUACUGGAUACAAGGACCGGAGCCGGAACCGGCAAUGAUGCCGGUGGUUUUUUCUGUCAGCGCAACCGCCCCCCCCCCUCUGGUAACUGUCGUAUGACGGGGAUAAGGUCGAGAGGUGGAGAUAGAGCCGACGAGAAGAGAGAGAGAAAGGCGGAGGUAGUGGCGGCACCGUCGCUACGGCAGCGGUGACAGUGGAUUUUGACAAGGUUUCAUGCACCAGGUCAGGUUCAGGCGACCACGGUUCAACUCGGUUCGGGUCAAGAUACAAGUUCGGUUAACAAAAGCUAGAUUUGGUUUGGUUUAACUCGGUUUGACCAAACCGAGUCAACUCAGCGUUUGGACUAGCUCAGUUUCGGGCCAACUCAGUUUGGAGCGGGUUAACUGAGUUCGGGUGCAGUCAACAAUUCUGGUCAACUAGGUCAACCCGGUUGACUCGGCCGACGCAACUUUUCGACACGAAGAUUUGGUUGCAUUUCAAAGUCGAGGCAUUUUUGGAAUAGGAGAACCAUUGGAGAUACGAGUACUUAGUGGCCUUCAAUUUCUAGAAAGUCUUUGCUUAUUUGCUUCCACUAUGACCAGUCCAGUCACGCCAACUCUGAUAAAUUCGUGGUGUGAUAGAUUGGUAUCAGAGUUAUAGGUUACUACGAAUAAGGUUUUCUGUAGGAAUACCUAGGCUCUAACCUCACUUUUCUCUGGGACUCAGACUAUUAAGACGUUGAAUACCUACAGAACGCCUAGUACUCGAGUAUGGUCUUCAACCGUUGCCGAAAAACAAACAGUCAAAAUUUUGCUUUCAAACAUACGCUAUUGUGGUGUUUCACACACGGUGCAUAAAGCAAUUACAUACAGUACACAAAACUCUGAGAGUUUAGGAAACAUGCAUUUAAGACCUUCGAAAACUUAUGUUGGAGUUCAUUAAAGGUCAUCACAUAGGAACCGCGAAUAUUAACUCGGGCACACACUAUUAUCCAUAUUGUCUAUGAUAUUUUAACUUCCCGAGCAGGCAGCCUAUGCAUAACAAAACGCUAGUGCACAGGUAUACGUGAAACCUAAGCUAUACAUCAACGGAGGUUGAAGUACGACACAUACGACUAUCAAGGCGAGGCCUUUGAAAAGACACGAUGACGUAAUUCAAUGACCACGCUAGAUUCCUGUAAGCAGGAGAACUAUCGAUCAGGAAACGGCGGUUUGGCACGUGGUCCUGCAACGACAUGAAUCACUCUAAGGAGAAGACGUAUAUCUCUGCAUCCCCCUAUUUCAGUUAACGACGAACACGUUAUGUUCGACAUUCCAUGGUAAUGUCACCUAACAACCGGACAUCACAUGCAACCCCAGGUAAAGUCCUCAAAUUUCUUUUAUUGAAAUUUCGACUUUCACAUUUACUGAGUAGAUUUUCGUAUCUCUACUCCUCUUAAUGGUCAUUGUGUCACGAUCAUUUCUUUCAGUAUAGCGAACACUAAUUGCUUCAUUUCUUGAAAAUUUAUAUGUUACGCAUGCAUCGUUUGUUAUGCAUGUGGUUUCAUUUCGAAUAAGCGUUUCAUUAAAGUUCAAAUAUUAUUUCGCUACAUCUAAUUAUUUAUUUGUGAUUCGACUGGCCCACAUUAUUGUAACUGUUGGCUCCUUUGUUAUCAAGUCAACACAUUUUCUUGAAAUUUCUCUUAUUUUCAAGUUAUAUACAAGGUUUUUCAUUGUGACCAUGCCGAAAGUUUUCUUGUCGAUACAUGUAUUUAUUGUCGGAUUGCGCUAAAACCAAGUUCAAUUGUUUGAGCUUAGCCAUUACACAUAUUCAAUUCAGAGCAUCAUAUGAUGUAUUGGGAGCAUCAUAUCCAAAAUUCGUUUUAACAAGUGUUUCAUUUAUUCCGAGUCGAAGUAAACUUGUUUGGCAUUCGACUCCACUGAAUUGUUUGUUGAUUUCGACACCUUGUAGCGGUGUUUUCACUUAUUUGAAGCUUGCGCUAAACUCGUUUACAUAUCUCAUACACGGAUUUAAAUAUUUAUUUAUUGAUUUGUUUUAAAUCCGCUUUGAAUUACCAUAUUAAAGCAGUCUUAACACAAUCGUGUGUUAAGACGAUGGUACACAAAAUUCAUUGCAUAUUCUGGUGUACCUACUAACAGUUCUUUCAACAUCAAUCGAAUAUUUUACGAUAUUUAUUGUUUCUUCAUCUUCGAUCAAAAACAUUAAUUCUUUGAUGUUCCAUCCUCAAUUGAAAAUCUUAUGAUGUCGUUUGAAUCAAAUUUUCAAAUUUGCUUCAUUGUACUUUCGCUUGACUUCAAACACGGUGAAUUGUUUGGUCACCGCUAUUAUUGAAUUGUUUCAUUUAUUGCGACACCUUGUGGCGUCGGUAUGACUUGCAGCUUGCGCUGAUCACGAUCGAGCGUUCCAUGCAAACUAUUACAUUAGAGAUUGUUGAUUCUAAGUUCAUCCAGUGGGUGUUAUUGCUUUUAGAACUUAUUUACACGUUGUAAACGUUCAUAUGGAACUCAAUUGGUCGAAGUUCCUGUUCAUUGUUGGGUCCCUGUUGACUUAGUCACACUAGUGACUGUAUCUAUACGACUUGUUUCCUUUGACAUCGAUUUGCUGAAACACAUUUAUUGUAAACCAUUGGGUCCUUAUUGUUGAGGAAUGUCACUAAAUUCACAUGAUUCGGAUAAGUCUUGUUUCGAUUACGCGGUCAUUCACUUUGUUAUUAUUCGGACUUACCUGCGAACAACACAAUUCUGAGGAGAUAACAUAGUCUAAAUUUCGAGGACGAAAUUUCUGUAACAGGGGAGAAUGUGACAACCGGUGAUUUAUAGCACCUAAUUACGUAAUUAACAGAUAAUCAACGUGAUAAUAAAUAGAUUUUACAACGCAAAUUAACUUAAUUAGGCCUUUGGAGUGCCAAGGAACGUCUAUCCGACUUUACAGUGCGCGAACGGUGGUUUACGAAAAAAUCUGCAGAAUAUUGCGCAACAACGAACUGAUACCGUGCGAAAUACUGACAACGCCAACAAAUAUUAAAUUUUUACGACAUAUCCUAGCUUCGUAAUUAAAUUUUAGUAACCGUGUUCGAAAACUGAUCGAAAAACGGAUUAAAGACGAUACAUGAAGUAUUUUACGCGCUUUUUACGCAACUGACGACUAAACGCACAAACAACGACUACCGACCGUAUUUUUGUGUAUUUUAAUUUUUGACGUUAAAAGGAGUUCAGGAUUUGACUACAGGUCUCGUAUGAAUUACGGGCCACUUGCACACGAGAUGGGCUUGUGGGCCCUGGGCCCAAGCCCAAAACCCGCAAGCCUAAACCUGCACAUAAUAUAUUAGAACCCUAACAAGAUCUUGCAAAAUCCUAUAAGAUCUGCUCAAAAUAUCAACAAGAUCUAUACAAGAUCUACAAAUCUUAUCAAAUCUAUAAAAAAAAUCUCUAACAAGAUUCAUCAAAUCACUACAAAUCUUUACAAGAUAUCUUGUCUCAAAAAUUAAGACACUAUCCUCCUUUAAAUAUACAAGACCCAGACAAAUAUCUUCACUCUCAAUACAACUCAUGCACACACACACUUCUGAGAAUAAUCUCCACAAAUCAAACCUCACAACCCAGCCAAACAUCAUCUUCUCCAUCAUUUCUUUCCCUUCUUCUUUUUACAGAACCCUAAGGCACACUUUCACCUAUAAACAAACCCCCGUUACACUCUUGAUCCCUCUCUCUCUCUCUCGAUGAUUCUGACCGACGGCCGGGUUCACCAUCGGCGCUCCGGCGAGCCUCCUAGUCGGGUGCUCCGACUCCCCCACACCCCUCCUAUUCCUCUUUUUCCGGUGAAACACCAUCUCUCAGCGACUCUCUCCCUCUCAACCUACUGGAUACAAGGACCGGAGCCGGAACUGGCAAUGAUGUCGGUGGUUCUUUCUGUCGGCGGAACCCCCCCCCCCCCCCCUCUGGUGACUGUCGUACGACGGGGAUAAGGUCGAGAGGUGGAGAUAGAGCCGAUGAGAAGAGAGAGAAAGGCUGAGGUAGCUGCGGCGCUGUCGCUACGGCAGCGGUAACAGUGGAUUUUGGCAAGGUUUCACGCACCGGGUCAGGUUCAGGCGACCACGGUUCAACUCGGUUCGGUUCAAGAUACAAGUUCAGUUAACAAAAGCUAGAUUUGGUUUGGUUUAACUCGGUUCGACUCGGUCAAACCGAGUCAACUCAGUGUUUGGACUAGCUCAGUUUCGGGCCAACUCAGUUUGGAGCGGGUCAACUCACUUCGGGUGCAGUCAACAAUUCGGGUCAACUCGGUCAACCCGGUUGACUCGGCCAACGCAAUUUUUCGACACGAAGAUUUGGUAAAGAUUAGCGGCGCAUUUAAUAUUUACGUUAUAUAUUUUUAGUUUUAAUCUCACGUGACUAACGAGCUUGAACCGAAUGAAGUGAAAUUAUUAGUUAAAACAUACUUGGUUUUAUUCGCAAUCUUGUCUACAUAAAUUGGUUAUACUAAAUAAUAGUGAAUUAUUGAUUGAA
This is a long non-coding RNA of Helianthus annuus (common sunflower), 4865 nucleotides long. RefSeq lists it as uncharacterized. Lineage: Eukaryota; Viridiplantae; Streptophyta; Magnoliopsida; Asterales; Asteraceae. The record is from RefSeq and is a predicted model, not a curated record. The transcript is spliced from 2 exons.